This 1482-nucleotide long non-coding RNA is filed under the name Cricetulus griseus (Chinese hamster). Its description in RNAcentral is "lncRNA (ENSCGRG00015029702.1)". Lineage: Eukaryota; Metazoa; Chordata; Mammalia; Rodentia; Cricetidae. The record is from RNAcentral.
CAGCCAUUCAGGGUCGAAACUCCUCUACCCCUGUGUGGGAUAUGAGUCUCUGCCCCAUCGCUCUGGUUCCUGUCAAUAAACCUCGUGCGAUUGCAGCAAGGACGAUCUCUCAUUUUGAAAUGUCUCCUGCUUCAAUAUGCUUUAUUCCUUCUACAAAGGAGCCAGAAAAGAAGCCAUCUGGGAACAAAAUCAGUCAUGUGGACGGUGAGACGAUACAGUGCAUCAUUGCUUUAAAGUCACACAGCUUCUUGAAUGACUCCCAGAAAGAGCCUUGGUAAGCCAGAUAUAACCCAUGCUAGGACACUAGUUAGCAAAAAGCACUAAGAACCUGGGAAUAAUAAACCCUGUAUCAGAGUUUUCAAGGGUAUCAUGGCUAUACUAUCAGGGUAUUGUAAAAUUGAAUGAUUUUUAGGUCAUUAAAUUAAAUUAAAAUUAAAAGAUACUGUGUAUUAAAUGCUUAAAUCCACACAGAGAAACCAUUUGCACUUGAAAACAGCAGUUAAAAAAAUUAGGUAUGUUGUACUUUCUCUCCCAUUCUUUUCAACAUCUCUAGAUGUUGUUCUAGGUUGGCUCUGGACAUUUGGUGUUGUACACAAAUAUCCAGAUUAUAAUGUUCACCACGGUCCUAAUAGUAACCAUAACUGAAUCUGAUGGAGGGAGUGGAAGGACUUUUCUUUGAGAAGAAUGGGGCUAUGAGUGGACUUUCAGGAGUGCCCAAAGUGUAGCUCAUGACAGCUGCCACAACCAGUGACCAUUGUGCAGACCAAUACAGCAGCAGGGGCUUGCAGAUCUUAAACAUCUUCAACUCCAUCAUCCAAGGCCAUAGCCAGGCAGUCCUACUACUGACACCUAUGCUGGAAUCAACUGGGAGGAGGAAGACAAUUUUGCAACCCCAGCCUCUCAGAUGGCCAGCUUCCUCUCUGACUGCCCUCAAGCCAUUACAUUCUGUUUAGAUUUUCUCUCUUGUUGUUCUGUCUAUACUAAGGCCUUGAAUUCACCAUCUCAGUCCUUGUAGCUAGCUCCACAUUGUAGGAAGAAAGCCCUGUGGGUUCUAUUGAUGGAGUUCAAAUGACAAAUGUGGAUAUUUUCCAGAAGAUCAAAAGUGUUCAGAGUUGUUCAGUUGCUGUAAAUACAUCAUGCAAUUCUAAGUCACUGCAGAGAGAUAAUUUUUCUGCUUCAAGAAACUAUAAGAAACAGUCAUGCUGAUGUGUUUAACCCUUGAGUGAAGAAUUUGUCUCAUCAGUAAUGCUGUAGCCAAGAACAUUCUGGAAAAUGGUAUUAAGGUAUCAGAACCAACUUCUCCCCUUACAUCCUGUUUUAGGGAUUAUUAGAAACUUCUUUGCAUGUACCAGGAACCACUGAAACCCUGAGCAAUGGCAGAGCAGCUGAUAUUGUUAACUUCUUGACUAUUUAUACAUGCUUUGAUAAAUUUGACAAAUAUAUUUACAAUAAGAUUUUAUGGUUUGUAUACUGAUUAUUUUC